This 948-nucleotide ribosomal RNA is filed under the name Pseudomonas sp. RNAcentral describes it as "bacterial SSU rRNA". It matches the Rfam family "Bacterial small subunit ribosomal RNA", at positions 49 to 991 of the family's 1533-position model. The record is from RNAcentral. Lineage: Bacteria; Pseudomonadati; Pseudomonadota; Gammaproteobacteria; Pseudomonadales; Pseudomonadaceae.
CUACACAUGCAGUCGAGCGGUAGAGAGAAGCUUGUUUUCUCUUGAGAGCGGCGGACGGGAGAGUAAUGCCUAGGAAUCUGCCUGGUAGUGGGGGAUAACGUUCGGAAACGGACGCUAAUACCGCAUACGUCCUACGGGAGAAAGCAGGGGACCUUCGGGCCUUGCGCUAUCAGAUGAGCCUAGGUCGGAUUAGCUAGUUGGUGAGGUAAUGGCUCACCAAGGCGACGAUCCGUAACUGGUCUGAGAGGAUGAUCAGUCACACUGGAACUGAGACACGGUCCAGACUCCUACGGGAGGCAGCAGUGGGGAAUAUUGGACAAUGGGCGAAAGCCUGAUCCAGCCAUGCCGCGUGUGUGAAGAAGGUCUUCGGAUUGUAAAGCACUUUAAGUUGGGAGGAAGGGCAGUUACCUAAUACGUGAUUGUUUUGACGUUACCGACAGAAUAAGCACCGGCUAACUCUGUGCCAGCAGCCGCGGUAAUACAGAGGGUGCAAGCGUUAAUCGGAAUUACUGGGCGUAAAGCGCGCGUAGGUGGUUAGUUAAGUUGGAUGUGAAAUCCCCGGGCUCAACCUGGGAACUGCAUUCAAAACUGACUGACUAGAGUAUGGUAGAGGGUGGUGGAAUUUCCUGUGUAGCGGUGAAAUGCGUAGAUAUAGGAAGGAACACCAGUGGCGAAGGCGACCACCUGGACUGAUACUGACACUGAGGUGCGAAAGCGUGGGGGAGCAAACAGGAUUAGAUACCCUGGUAGUCCACGCCGUAAACGAUGUCAACUAGCCGUUUGGGAGCCUUGAGCUCUUAGUGGCGCAGCUAACGCAUUAAGUUGACCGCCUGGGGAGUCCGGCCGCAAGGUUAAAACUCAAAUGAUUGACGGGGGCCGCACAAGCGGUGGAGCAUGUGGUUUAAUUCGAAGCAACGCGUAGAACCUUACCAGGCUCUUGACAUUCCA